AGUAAGGUCAGCUAAAUAAGCUUUUGGGCCCAUACCCCAAAUAUGUUGGUUGAAAUCCUUCCCUUACUA
This 69-nucleotide transfer RNA is filed under the name Valencia letourneuxi. RNAcentral describes it as "tRNA-Met". It matches the Rfam family "tRNA". Rfam says of the family: Transfer RNA (tRNA) molecules are approximately 80 nucleotides in length. The record is from RNAcentral. Lineage: Eukaryota; Metazoa; Chordata; Actinopteri; Cyprinodontiformes; Valenciidae.